AGAUUGAACGCUAGCGGGAUGCUUUACACAUGCAAGUCGAACGGCAGCGCGGACUUCGGUCUGGCGGCGAGUGGCGAACGGGUGAGUAAUAUAUCGGAACGUGCCCAGUAGCGGGGGAUAACUACGCGAAAGCGUGGCUAAUACCGCAUACGCCCUACGGGGGAAGGGGGGGAUUCUUCGGAACCUCUCACUAUUGGAGCGGCCGAUAUCAGAUUAGCUAGUUGGUGAGGUAAAGGCUCACCAAGGCGACGAUCUGUAGCUGGUUUGAGAGGACGACCAGCCACACUGGGACUGAGACACGGCCCAGACUCCUACGGGAGGCAGCAGUGGGGAAUUUGGGACAAGUGGGGGAAACCCUGGACUCCAGCCAUCCCGCGUGUGCCGA
This 385-nucleotide ribosomal RNA is filed under the name uncultured soil bacterium. RNAcentral's name for it is "bacterial SSU rRNA". It matches the Rfam family "Bacterial small subunit ribosomal RNA", at positions 26 to 409 of the family's 1533-position model. The record is from RNAcentral.